Molecule: ribosomal RNA, 456 nt
Filed under: uncultured bacterium
Lineage: Bacteria
Description: bacterial SSU rRNA
Rfam family: Bacterial small subunit ribosomal RNA
Source: RNAcentral
AACGAACGCUGGCGGCAGGCCUAACACAUGCAAGUCGAACGCAUCGCAAGAUGAGUGGCAGACGGGUGAGUAACGCGUGGGAACCUUCCCAGUGGUGCGGAAUAGCUCAGGGAAACUUGAGGUAAUACCGCAUGAGCCCGCAAGGGGAAAGAUUUAUCGCCAUUGGAUGGGCCCGCGUCGGAUUAGCUAGUUGGUGAGGUAACGGCUCACCAAGGCGACGAUCCGUAGCUGGUUUGAGAGAAUGACCAGCCACACUGGGACUGAGACACGGCCCAGACUCCUACGGGAGGCAGCAGUGGGGAAUAUUGGACAAUGGGCGCAAGCCUGAUCCAGCCAUGCCGCGUGAGUGACGAAGGCCUUAGGGUUGUAAAGCUCUUUCGGCAGGAACGAAAAGGCUCUCUCUAACAUAGGGGGUCAAUGACGGUACCUGAAGAAGAAGCACCGGCUAACUACGUG